CCUACGGGAGGCAGCAGUGGGGAAUAUUGCACAAUGGGGGAAACCCUGAUGCAGCGAAGCCGCGUGAGUGAAGAAGUCUUUCGGGAUGUAAAGCUCCAUCAGUAGGGAAGAAAAUGACGGUACCUGAUUAAGAAUCUCCGGCUAAAUACGUUCAAGCAGCGCCGGUAAUACGUAGGGGGCAAGCGUUAUCCGGAUUUACUGGGGGUAAAGGGAGUGUAGACGGCAGCACAAGUAUGGAGUGAAAUGCCGGGGGUUAACCCCGGAACUGCUUUGGAAACUGUGCAGCUAGAGUGCAGGAGGGGUAAAUGGAAUUCGUGGUGUAGCGGUGAAAUGCGUAGAUAUUAGGAAGAACACCAGUGGCGAAGGCAGCUUACUGGACUGUGACUGACGUUGAGGCUCGAAAGCGUGGGGAGCAAACAGGAUUAGAUACCCCUGUAGUC
This 440-nucleotide ribosomal RNA is filed under the name uncultured bacterium. RNAcentral's name for it is "partial 16S ribosomal RNA". It matches the Rfam family "Bacterial small subunit ribosomal RNA", at positions 338 to 795 of the family's 1533-position model. The record is from RNAcentral.